GAACCGUACAAACGUUAUUCGGGAAUCACUGGGCUUAAAGGGUGCGUAGGCGGCGGCGCAAGUUGGGGUGUGAAAUCCCUCGGGCUCAACCGAGGAAUGGCGCCCAAAACUGCGUGGCUCGAGGGAGACAGAGGUGAGCGGAACUUGCGGUGGAGCGGUGAAAUGCGUUGAUAUCGCAAGGAACACCAGUGGCGAAGGCGGCUCACUGGGUCUCUUCUGACGCUGAGGCACGAAAGCUAGGGGAGCGAACGGGAUUAGAUACCCCGGUAGUCCUAGCUGUAAACGAUGAGCACUGGGUCGGAGGAUCCUCCAUAGUUUUCCGGCCGUAGCGAAAGUGUUAAGUGCUCCGCCUGGGGAGUAUGGUCGCAAGGCUG
RNAcentral lists this ribosomal RNA (374 nucleotides) under uncultured organism. RNAcentral's name for it is "partial 16S ribosomal RNA". It matches the Rfam family "Bacterial small subunit ribosomal RNA", at positions 527 to 896 of the family's 1533-position model. The record is from RNAcentral.